UCGAGAAUAAUUCACAAUGGGGGAAACCCUGAUGGUGCAACGCCGCGUGGAGGAUGAAGGUCUUCGGAUUGUAAACUCCUGUCAUCGGGGAGUAAGACCUGGCGGUAAAUAGCCGACAGGGUUGAUAGUACCCGAAGAGGAAGGGACGGCUAACUUCGUGCCAGCAGCCGCGGUAAUACGAAGGUCCCAAGCGUUGUUCGGAAUCACUGGGCGUAAAGGGAGCGUAGGCGGCGUGGUAAGUCAGAUGUGAAAUCCCGGGGCUCAACCCCGGAACUGCAUCCGAUACUGCCGUGCUUGAGGGUUGGAGAGGUAGCUGGAAUUAUCGGUGUAGCAGUGAAAUGCGUGGAUAUCGAUAGGAACACUCGUGGCGAAGGCGAGCUACUGGACAACAUCUGACGCUGAGGCUCGAAGGCUAGGGGAGCAAAAG
RNAcentral lists this ribosomal RNA (427 nucleotides) under uncultured Luteolibacter sp. Its description in RNAcentral is "bacterial SSU rRNA". It matches the Rfam family "Bacterial small subunit ribosomal RNA", at positions 355 to 774 of the family's 1533-position model. The record is from RNAcentral. Lineage: Bacteria; Pseudomonadati; Verrucomicrobiota; Verrucomicrobiia; Verrucomicrobiales; Verrucomicrobiaceae.